This 497-nucleotide ribosomal RNA is filed under the name uncultured bacterium. Its description in RNAcentral is "partial 16S ribosomal RNA". It matches the Rfam family "Bacterial small subunit ribosomal RNA", at positions 28 to 507 of the family's 1533-position model. The record is from RNAcentral.
GAUGAACGCUGGCGGCGUGCCUAAUACAUGCAAGUCGAGCGAACAGACGAGGAGCUUGCUCCUCUGACGUUAGCGGCGGACGGGUGAGUAACACGUGGAUAACCUACCUAUAAGACUGGGAUAACUUCGGGAAACCGGAGCUAAUACCGGAUAAUAUAUUGAACCGCAUGGUUCAAUAGUGAAAGACGGUUUUGCUGUCACUUAUAGAUGGAUCCGCGCCGCAUUAGCUAGUUGGUAAGGUAACGGCUUACCAAGGCGACGAUGCGUAGCCGACCUGAGAGGGUGAUCGGCCACACUGGAACUGAGACACGGUCCAGACUCCUACGGGAGGCAGCAGUAGGGAAUCUUCCGCAAUGGGCGAAAGCCUGACGGAGCAACGCCGCGUGAGUGAUGAAGGUCUUCGGAUCGGAAAACUCUGUUAUUAGGGAAGAACAAAUGUGUAAGUAACUAUGCACGUCUUGACGGUACCUAAUCAGAAAGCCACGGCUAACUACGUG